UGAAGCUGGAAUUGCUAGUAAUGGCAGGUCAGCAUACUGCCGUGAAUACGUUCCCGGGCCUUGUACACACCGCCCGUCACACCAUGAGAGUUGGAAAUACCCGAAGCCUGUGGGCUAACUUAAAGAGGCAGCAGUCGAAGGUAGAGCCAAUGAUUGGGGUGAAGUCGUAACAAGGUAGC
Molecule: ribosomal RNA, 179 nt
Filed under: uncultured bacterium
Lineage: Bacteria
Description: partial 16S ribosomal RNA
Rfam family: Bacterial small subunit ribosomal RNA
Source: RNAcentral